UACGGAGGGGGCAAGCGUUGUUCGGAAUUAUUGGGCGUAAAGGGCGCGUAGGCGGCCAGGUAAGUCAGGCGUGAAAUCCCACGGCUCAACCGUGGAACUGCGUUUGAUACUGCUUGGCUUGAGUCCCGGAGAGGGUAGUGGAAUUCCUAGUGUAGCGGUGAAAUGCGUAGAUAUUAGGAGGAACACCAGUGGCGAAGGCGACUACCUGGACGGGUACUGACGCUGAGGCGCGAAAGCAUGGGGAGCAAACAGG
Molecule: ribosomal RNA, 253 nt
Filed under: uncultured bacterium
Lineage: Bacteria
Description: partial 16S ribosomal RNA
Rfam family: Bacterial small subunit ribosomal RNA
Source: RNAcentral